GAUUUGUUCAGGAAUCCUUUCUCCAUCCGCAUGUCAGCUAGAACCUGGGUAUUUCUCAAGCCUCACAUUCAGACAGGUGGGGCUGCUGCUUUCCUUCUCUCCUGGUGUCACUUUAAGGUUACUGCUCAAAGGGACUGAUUCUUUUCUCAAGAGACUAUUUUCUCUGAAAGUUCACAAUGUUCACCUUUCUGUUUGCUUCAAGGAGAACUCUGAAUUCCAGUCGAAAUCCUGCAACUUGGAAGAGAGCUUUCCAAUCUUCCGGAAAUUUUGUGAGGUCAUUUCACAUGUUGGGAAUUGGAUACCAGAAUUUUUAGAUCCCUGGCUGGCCAAGGUGUACACGCAUUAAAAAAAAAAUCCCUGGAAAUCCAGAUGAAAAGAAAGAAUGGAGAGGGAUGACUUCUUGGAGGAGGAGGUCUUACACAGAGGCUGUUUCUCCUUUACGCCCUGGACCCAGACUAAAACAUGGCCUCUCGAGUCUUGGCAGACGGGGCUUCAACACAAUCCCAGUAAGUGGAUCAACUCAAGGCAUGGAGCGACUGGAGCUCCUCUGCCACUUGUUGUUAAGAGAGUGUCACAAUCCGCAGCCAACGUUGCAGCAUCUCCCAGUUCCUGCCACGCAGGCCUCCCACGAAUGAAGAGAUGAAGCCACGUGGAGUUGCUGAAUUAGCUGUUAAUCCAGCUUGGACUGAAGACGGGGGAAGAGGAAAGGGUUAAAUUGGUCUCAAACUGUCUGGACAGAGCAGAGAUCUGGGCCAGGUGAAGGGACAAGAGAGGGUAGGUUGAAGAGUAGGUUGGAGCACGCUGGAGAAAAAUCACUCAAAAUUUGGCAAUGGGCAAAGAAUAAUAUCCGUCCUGGGGGAGGGAGGAGAAGGACCGCGACACGUAUGGUUUUUGACCCUGUGAGACAUUAAGCAGUUUAGAUUUUGACAUAGUGAUCUUAAGCUCACUUCUCUUUCUUAAAUUGCCUAUAAAAUAAAAAAAAUUUCCAAUUGUCA
RNAcentral lists this long non-coding RNA (995 nucleotides) under Ursus maritimus (polar bear). RNAcentral describes it as "lncRNA (ENSUMAG00000005970.1)". The record is from RNAcentral. Lineage: Eukaryota; Metazoa; Chordata; Mammalia; Carnivora; Ursidae.